Molecule: ribosomal RNA, 467 nt
Filed under: uncultured bacterium
Lineage: Bacteria
Description: bacterial SSU rRNA
Rfam family: Bacterial small subunit ribosomal RNA
Source: RNAcentral
GGGCCCGCACAAGCGGUGGAGCAUGUGGUUCAAUUCGAAGCAACGCGAAGAACCUUACCAGCCUUUGACAUGCCCCGUAUGGUCGUCAGAGAUGACUUCCUUCCCGCAAGGGGCGGGAGCACAGGUGCUGCAUGGCUGUCGUCAGCUCGUGUCGUGAGAUGUUGGGUUAAGUCCCGCAACGAGCGCAACCCUCGGCCUUAGUUGCCAUCAUUCAGUUGGGCACUCUAAGGCGACUGCCGGUGAUAAGCCGCGAGGAAGGUGGGGAUGACGUCAAGUCCUCAUGGCCCUUACAGGCUGGGCUACACACGUGCUACAAUGGCGGUGACAGUGGGAUGCAAUGGAGCAAUCCUGCGCAAAUCUCAAAAAGCCGUCUCAGUUCGGAUUGUGCUCUGCAACUCGAGCACAUGAAGUUGGAAUCGCUAGUAAUCGCAGAUCAGCACGCUGCGGUGAAUACGUUCCCGGGCCUU